CCUACGUGCGGCAGCAGUGAGGAAUAUUGGUCAAUGGACGAGAGUCUGAACCAGCCAAGUAGCGUGAAGGAUGACUGCCCUAUGGGUUGUAAACUUCUUUUAUAUGUGAAUAAAACAGGGUAUGCAUACCCUCUUGUAUGUACCAUAUGAAUAAGGAUCGGCUAACUCCGUGCCAGCAGCCGCGGUAAUACGGAGGAUCCGAGCGUUAUCCGGAUUUAUUGGGUUUAAAGGGAGCGUAGGUGGAUUGUUAAGUCAGUUGUGAAAGUUUGUGGCUCAACCAUAAAAUUGCCGUUGAAACUGGUUGACUUGAGGAUAUUUGAGGUAGGCGGAAUGCGUGGUGUAGCGGUGAAAUGCAUAGAUAUCACGCAGAACUCCGAUUGCGAAGGCAGCUUACCGGCGCCCAACUGACGCUGAAGCACGAAAGCGUGGGUAUCGAACAGGAUUAGAUACCCGAGUAGUC
RNAcentral lists this ribosomal RNA (460 nucleotides) under uncultured bacterium. RNAcentral describes it as "partial 16S ribosomal RNA". It matches the Rfam family "Bacterial small subunit ribosomal RNA", at positions 338 to 795 of the family's 1533-position model. The record is from RNAcentral.